UACAGAGGUCUCAAGCGUUGUUCGGAUUCAUUGGGCGUAAAGGGUACGUAGGCGGCGCGGUAAGUCGGAUGUGAAAUCUCGGAGCUUAACUCCGAAACUGCAUUCGAUACUGCCGUGCUUGAGGACUGGAGAGGAGACUGGAAUUUACGGUGUAGCGGUGAAAUGCGUAGAUAUCGUAAGGAAGACCAGUGGCGAAGGCGGGUCUCUGGACAGUUCCUGACGCUGAGGCACGAAGGCCAGGGGAGCAAACGGG
Molecule: ribosomal RNA, 253 nt
Filed under: uncultured bacterium
Lineage: Bacteria
Description: partial 16S ribosomal RNA
Rfam family: Bacterial small subunit ribosomal RNA
Source: RNAcentral